Molecule: ribosomal RNA, 436 nt
Filed under: uncultured bacterium
Lineage: Bacteria
Description: bacterial SSU rRNA
Rfam family: Bacterial small subunit ribosomal RNA
Source: RNAcentral
GAUGAACGCUAGCUACAGGCUUAACACAUGCAAGUCGAGGGGCAGCAUUUUAGUUUGCUUGCAAACUGAAGAUGGCGACCGGCGCACGGGUGAGUAACACGUAUCCAACCUGCCGAUAACUCCGGGAUAGCCUUUCGAAAGAAAGAUUAAUACCGGAUAGUAUACGAAUAUCGCAUGAUAUUUUUAUUAAAGAAUUUCGGUUAUCGAUGGGGAUGCGUUCCAUUAGUUUGUUGGCGGGGUAACGGCCCACCAAGACUACGAUGGAUAGGGGUUCUGAGAGGAAGGUCCCCCACAUUGGAACUGAGACACGGUCCAAACUCCUACGGGAGGCAGCAGUGAGGAAUAUUGGUCAAUGGGCGCGAGCCUGAACCAGCCAAGUAGCGUGAAGGAUGAAGGCUCUAUGGGUCGUAAACUUCUUUUAUAUGGGAAUAAAGUU